RNAcentral lists this ribosomal RNA (301 nucleotides) under uncultured bacterium. RNAcentral describes it as "partial 16S ribosomal RNA". It matches the Rfam family "Bacterial small subunit ribosomal RNA", at positions 509 to 807 of the family's 1533-position model. The record is from RNAcentral.
CAGUAGCCGCGGUAAUACGGAGGGUGCAGGCGUUAAUCGGAAUUACUGGGCGUAAAGCGCACGCAGGCGGUCUGUCAAGUCAGAUGUGAAAUCCCCGGGCUUAACCUGGGAACUGCAUUUGAAACUGGCAGGCUAGAGUCUUGUAGAGGGGGGUAGAAUUCCAGGUGUAGCGGUGAAAUGCGUAGAGAUCUGGAGGAAUACCGGUGGCGAAGGCGGCCCCCUGGACAAAGACUGACGCUCAGGUGCGAAAGCGUGGGGAGCAAACAGGAUUAGAUACCCCAGUAGUCCCUGUCUCUUAUAC